Molecule: non-coding RNA, 90 nt
Filed under: human gut metagenome
Description: TPP riboswitch (THI element)
Rfam family: TPP riboswitch aptamer (THI element) (bases 1-80)
About the family: Vitamin B(1) in its active form thiamin pyrophosphate (TPP) is an essential coenzyme that is synthesised by coupling of pyrimidine and thiazole moieties in bacteria. The previously detected thiamin-regulatory element, thi box was extended, resulting in a new, highly conserved RNA secondary structure, the THI element, which is widely distributed in eubacteria and also occurs in some archaea. Analysis of operon structures identified a large number of new candidate thiamin-regulated genes, mostly transporters, in various prokaryotic organisms.
Source: RNAcentral
CAGGGAGCUCGUGAGCGGGCUGAGAGGAAGUAAUCAACUUCGACCUAUAUAACCUGAUUUGGGUAAUGCCAACGUAGGGAAAUAGUGAUU